UACGUAGGGGGCGAGCGUUGUCCGAAUUCACUGGGCGUAAAGCGCGCGUAGGCGGGCUCUUAAGUUGGGGGUGAAAUUCCGAGGCUCAACCUCGGAACUGCCUUCAAAACUGGGAGCCUUGAGGUAUGGAGAGGGAAGUGGAAUUCCUGGUGUAGCGGUGAAAUGCGUAGAUAUCAGGAGGAACACCCGUGGCGAAGGCGGCUUCCUGGCCAUAUCCUGACGCUGAGGUGCGAAAGCCAGGGGAG
This 245-nucleotide ribosomal RNA is filed under the name uncultured bacterium. RNAcentral describes it as "partial 16S ribosomal RNA". It matches the Rfam family "Bacterial small subunit ribosomal RNA", at positions 524 to 768 of the family's 1533-position model. The record is from RNAcentral.